Molecule: unclassified non-coding RNA, 251 nt
Filed under: uncultured fungus
Lineage: Eukaryota; Fungi
Description: partial contains 5.8S ribosomal RNA, internal transcribed spacer 2, and large subunit ribosomal RNA
Source: RNAcentral
AACGCACAUUGCGCCCCUUGGUAUUCCAUGGGGCAUGCCUGUUCGAGCGUCAUUUGUACCUUCAAGCUUUGCUUGGUGAUGGGUGUUUGUCCUGCCCUCUGCGGCUGGACUCGCCUUAAAAUUAUUGGCAGCCGGCAUAUUGGCCUUUGGAGCGCAGCACAUUUUGCGAUCUAAGCCGUUAUACUGGUACCCAUAAAGCGUACUUUCUCACUUUUGACCUCGGAUCAGGUAGGGAUACCCGCUGAACUUAA